UACCACGCUCUCCGAGUGCUAGGGAUGAUUAUUGGGCUUAAAGCGUCCGUAUCUGGCCUUUCUGGUCUCUUGUUAAAUCCAGCGAUUCAAUCGUUGGACUGCUUGAGAUACUGUGAGGCUAGGGGGCGGGAGAAUCCGACGGGAUUUUCGGGGUAGGGGUAAAAUCCUAUAAUCCCGGUAAGACCACCAGUGACGAAGGCGGUCGGUUAGCUCGCGCUCGACAGUGAGGGACGAAAGCUGGGGGAGCGAACCGGAUUAGAUACCCGGGUAGUCCCAGCUGUAAACGAUGCGGGCUAGGUGUUGAAGCGUCCACGACCCGCUUCAGUGCCGCAGGGAAGCCAUUAAGCCCGCCGCCUGGGGAGUACGGCCGCAAGGCUGAAACUUAAAGGAAUUGGCGGGGGAGCACCCCAAGGGGUGAAGCUUGCGGUUUAAUCGGAGUCAACCCCGGAAACCUUACCGGGCGCGACAGCAGAAUGAAAGCCAGAUUGAAGGUCUUGCUGGACGAGCUGAGAGGAGGUCCAUGGCCGUCGCCAGUUCGUGCCGUGAGGUGUCCUCUUAAGUCAGGCAACGAUCGAGACCCACGCCCUCUGUUGCUACAUGAGGAGUUUUCCAAAGGGCACUCUGAGGGUACUGCCGCCGAUAAGGUGGAGGAAGGAGUGGACCACGGCAGGUCAGUAUGCCCCGAAUCGACCGGUCCACACGCGAGCUGCAAUGGCUGGGACAGUGGGUUCCGACCCUGAAAGGGGAAGGCAAUCCCGAAACCCGGCCUCAGUUGGGAUCGAGGGCUGAAACCCGCCCUCGUGAGCAUGGAAUCCCUAGUAAUCGCGCGUCAUCAGCGCGCGGAGAAUACGUCCCUUCUCCU
Molecule: ribosomal RNA, 862 nt
Filed under: uncultured archaeon
Lineage: Archaea
Description: SSU rRNA
Rfam family: Archaeal small subunit ribosomal RNA
Source: RNAcentral